Monodelphis domestica (gray short-tailed opossum) is the source of this 59-nucleotide microRNA precursor. NCBI's taxonomy places the organism in Eukaryota, Metazoa, Chordata, Mammalia, Didelphimorphia, Didelphidae. The record is from Ensembl.
GAAAUCCGUAUACCUUUCAGCUGAGAACAUAAGAACAACUGAACAGGUUUCCGGAUUCC